AUAUUGGACAAUGGGCGAAAGCCUGAUCCAGCCAUGCCGCGUGCGUGACGAAGGUCUUCGGAUUGUAAAGCUCUUUUGGCGGGGAAGCUAAUGAUGGUACCCGUAGAAUAAGCUCCGGCUAACUUCGUGCCAGCAGCCGCGGUAAUACGAAGGGGGCUAGCGUUGGUCGGAAUCACGGGGCGUAAAGCGCACGUAGGCGGAUUUGCCAGUCAGGGGUGAAAUCCCGGGGCUCAACCUCGGAACUGCCUUUGAUACAGCAAGUCUAGAGUCCGGAAGAGGUGAGUGGAAUUCCUAAUGUAGAGGUGAAAUUCGUAGAUAUUAGGAGGAACACCAGUGGCGAAGGCGGCUCACUGGUCCGGCACUGACGCUGAGGUGCGAAAGCGUGGGGAGCAAGC
This 395-nucleotide ribosomal RNA is filed under the name uncultured bacterium. RNAcentral describes it as "partial 16S ribosomal RNA". It matches the Rfam family "Bacterial small subunit ribosomal RNA", at positions 361 to 773 of the family's 1533-position model. The record is from RNAcentral.